RNAcentral lists this ribosomal RNA (199 nucleotides) under Bifidobacterium sp. 172. Its description in RNAcentral is "partial 16S ribosomal RNA". It matches the Rfam family "Bacterial small subunit ribosomal RNA", at positions 206 to 407 of the family's 1533-position model. The record is from RNAcentral. Lineage: Bacteria; Bacillati; Actinomycetota; Actinomycetes; Bifidobacteriales; Bifidobacteriaceae.
GCUUUUGCGGCAUGGGAUGGGGUCGCGUCCUAUCAGCUUGUUGGCGGGGUGAUGGCCCACCAAGGCUUCGACGGGUAGCCGGCCUGAGAGGGCGACCGGCCACAUUGGGACUGAGAUACGGCCCAGACUCCUACGGGAGGCAGCAGUGGGGAAUAUUGCACAAUGGGCGCAAGCCUGAUGCAGCGACGCCGCGUGAGGA